Molecule: long non-coding RNA, 2343 nt
Organism: Oreochromis niloticus (Nile tilapia)
Lineage: Eukaryota; Metazoa; Chordata; Actinopteri; Cichliformes; Cichlidae
Exons: 3
Source: RefSeq, a predicted model, not a curated record
UUUCCAAAAGGCAAUUCCAUAGGCAUCAAUGCAACUUCCAUAACAUCAGAGAUGCAGGCUUUUGAUUUGAGCACAUAAUAAACUGGAAACCUGGAAACAAACCUCUAUAGUCCAGAGAGUGUCGUAGAUAGACGAAUUUAAAUUUGACAAGCGACAGAAUAGCAAAGAUCGCAGUAAGUCUGGAUUGUAUUAACACACGGCUUGUAACGGUCUUUUGCAUUUGAUGUUUUGUUGAGCUGUAUGUCCAGAUUUUGCUCUUUUGCACCAUCUGGUGGUGAACUAUGGAGGGUUCAGUUGUUUGCAGUUUGGGUCUCCACCCAGCCACUCUUUUGCUAGCGCACAUGGUGUCUGGGUGCUACAGCUCGCGGUUAGCUCCACACAUAGAGAAAGUAAUGUUUAAAGUUAAAUGAAGAGAAGAAAUAAGUGAGAAAGAAGAUGGAGAAUAAGAUAAUAAGGCCAUAAAGGACUAUUUAGCCCCUCCUGGAUGUCAGCUCACGAGUUCUCACGGGUUGUCAAGACCAGAGUAAACCUUGUUUUAUAACUCUACAUCGUGCCUACGUCAAUCCUUGAGGGUGCUACACGGCUUCUUCUUCUUUAUAUGUGCCACACGAGGGCCCCAAGAUCACAAGUAUCCUAUGUUGUUUUUCACGCUCUUCUCUUACACACAGAUUCUCAGUGUCUUUUGAUGAUGAUGUUAUUCAAAGUCUUUGCAAUGUUACAUUGAUGAACAUCUGUAAUUGUUCCAAAAUUUGUAGAAUUUUGUAGACGAAACUCUGCACAUGUUUACUUUUGCGAAACUCCUCAUAUCUGAGAUGCUGUUUUUAAUGCCCAGUCAUGUUACUGGCAUGUUACCAAUAAAUCUAAUUCUUUGCUAAAUGUUCCUCCAGCUGUUUCUUUUUAGUACGGUUUACUUUACCUGUCAUUUGUUCCCCUAGUCCCAAGUUUUUUGAGAUGUGUUGCUGCCACCAAAUUCAAAACAAGCUAUGAAAGCUACCUUUCAUGAAGUAGUCUGUUUCAACAUUUAAUGGUUUUUUUUUUUUUGUGCAAUUUUUUUCCAUUUUAAACAACAUCUAAACUUCUUCGGAAAUAGGGUUGUAGAUCUUAAAGACUUGUAUGCAACUUUUCUUUUUUGACCCCUAAAAAUGCAGAUCUGCACUGGUUUAAUUUUUCCUGCAUCUCUUGUGAAAACUCCAUGUUUUUGCCUCAUUGUAUUCGCCUGACAAGGAUCAGGGUCAUACAUUUUUACCACAAGGUGGCAGAAGUGCUGUUUAAUGAUUCAUUUCCUGUUCUGCAGAGGCUGCUUUCAGAUACUCCUAGAAGAUUUCCACUUUUAAAGUUUUAAACAAUGGAUAUGUAAAUGCUAUACGACAGAAUUUAAUAAAACAGGACUACUUGCUAGGUACACUAAGCUGUUAAUGCAGAUUUCCCAGCUCUAAAUAAAUCUUACCAAGUCAAGCAACUUAAAGUUUCUGGGGAUUUUGUUAAUCAUUGCAGCAUUUCUGAACCUACAGAAAGAACCACAGUUCCAUUUAGGUUGACUUUACACAUCAUUUAUGUGCACGAAGAUAAUACAUUUUCCAUGACACAUGUCAAAAACACAUUUAACAAGAGCUAUUAAAUGUACCCAUUCUUUAAAUUAUUUAUUUAGUGGUAUUGCACUUGGUACAUUUGCCAUUUUUUGUGGUAUUGCCAGCCUGAAUGAAGUAAUUGCCUUGCAGUGGAGUUUUUAAAACCCUGUGUUUGAAAUGAGUAUCGCUAUGUUGCCAUGACCUCUUAAUCUGAAAUGCUUCUCCCACACAUGCACAUUAUUUUGUUGUUUGUGGUUUCCUGAAUGCACUUGAAAGUUGCGGUGAAUGACCUACAGUUCACAACCAUCAAACCCUCAAAUGUACAACCAUGCAUAUCCAAUCGCCAGUCAUUAUUAUAUAAAUAAUAUAAAUCACUAAAGUUAUCCAUCAUCCAUAACUGAAGAGAGAAAUUUAUACAUGAAAAAGAAUUUUGUGUGUUUCACAUAGUUAAAAUAUGAGUUAGAGGACUUCGACAGCAUCUAGAAAGAUAUGUCUUAAAUUUACUAUCUACACUUGCACAGCAAUGCCUUGACUGUUCAUUAGUUUUUGAUUAGAAUUUGGACUUUUUGCAACUACCAGACUCAGCAACCUGUGUUUAUCCCUGUAUUCAAUUUAAUCUCAGAGAAAAGUACUGAUAGUAAGGUCCUCAUAAAUAAGAAUAUAAGUAAAUAUAAAUAAAAGUUGGAAUGACUUCAUUUUUUUAUAAGUGUGACACCACGUGUCUGGAACUCUGUCACGGUCAGUGUUGCAGGGCAAAUGAACAUUUUCUUUUUCU